CCAGACCAUCGGACGGUCGCCGCUGCACGCGAGUGUGGGGGAGGAAAGUCCGGGCUCCACGCAGCAACGGUGCCGGGUAACACCCGGCGGGGGUGACCCCAGGGAAAGUGCCACAGAGAGCAGACCGCCUGACUUUCGAGAAGGGCAAGGGUGAAAGGGUGCGGUAAGAGCGCACCGCGCGACGGGCAACCGAAGCGGCACGGCAAACCCCACCGGGAGCAAGACCGAAUAGGGACGGCGCGCACGGCAACGUGCAAGGCCCGCUGCGGCCCAGUCGUCCGGGUUGGUUGCUUGAGGCGGACGGUAACGUUCGUCCUAGAGGAAUGACCGUCUAUGGAGCGCAAGCCCCGGGACAGAACCCGGCUUACAGAUGGUCUGGCCGA
RNAcentral lists this RNase P RNA (383 nucleotides) under Glacieibacterium arshaanense. Its description in RNAcentral is "Polymorphobacter arshaanensis Bacterial RNase P class A". It matches the Rfam family "Bacterial RNase P class A". From Rfam's summary of the family: Ribonuclease P (RNase P) is a ubiquitous endoribonuclease, found in archaea, bacteria and eukarya as well as chloroplasts and mitochondria. The record is from Rfam by way of RNAcentral. Lineage: Bacteria; Pseudomonadati; Pseudomonadota; Alphaproteobacteria; Sphingomonadales; Sphingosinicellaceae.